GCAGUCUACUAGACGACCGCUUGGCCUUAAAACCAAGAGGAAAGUCCGGGCAGCAAAGGAUACGACAGUCGCUAACGGCGACCGGGGGUAACCCUAGGGAAAGUGCCACAGAAACUGUACCGCCUCGUGAAUGCUGUGCAAUUUGGUCUUCGGGCUCGGUUGUUACAGAGAGGUAAGGGUGAAAAGAGUGAGGUAAGAGCUCACAGCGUCAUAUGGUGACAUAUGGAGAAGGUAAACCCUGUCGGCUGCAAGGAGAUCAGCAUAACGAGUGAUCCGCUCGCUGGUCGAUACCCGCUUGAUUGUAUCAGCAAUGGUAUAGCUAGAUAGAUGGUCGUCCUCGACAAAACCCGGCUUACAGGUCGACUGCCUAU
This 371-nucleotide RNase P RNA is filed under the name Candidatus Saccharibacteria bacterium 49-20. Its description in RNAcentral is "RNase P RNA component class A". It matches the Rfam family "Bacterial RNase P class A". From Rfam's summary of the family: Ribonuclease P (RNase P) is a ubiquitous endoribonuclease, found in archaea, bacteria and eukarya as well as chloroplasts and mitochondria. Its best characterised activity is the generation of mature 5'-ends of tRNAs by cleaving the 5'-leader elements of precursor-tRNAs. Lineage: Bacteria; Candidatus Saccharimonadota. The record is from RNAcentral.